Etheostoma cragini (Arkansas darter) is the source of this 143-nucleotide long non-coding RNA. RefSeq lists it as uncharacterized. Lineage: Eukaryota; Metazoa; Chordata; Actinopteri; Perciformes; Percidae. The transcript is spliced from 3 exons. The record is from RefSeq and is a predicted model, not a curated record.
CAGUUUUGGGAAUCUGGGUGAGAUACUCUCCUAGCUUCUGCAGAGCUUGUAAAUUGAUGCUGAAUUCUUUGAUGUAAUUAAACAUUUUAUAAUCAAGAAACAGUGUCAAGCAGAUUCCUGUCAACACAUCAUCCAGCAUGGCU